AUACCUUUCUCGGCCUUUUGGCUAAGAUCAAGUGUAGUAUCUGUUCUUAUCAGUUUAAUAUCUGAUACGUGGAUCAAUGGUUCACACGAUAUUAAAUUAAUUUUUUGAAGGGGUGAGUCCACCACAAUAGCUUGCUAUUGGGGCUCACGCGUGUCAUCCUUGUGUUGCACUACAGCAAGGUUUGGCGCACCCUAC
This 195-nucleotide small nuclear RNA is filed under the name Rosa chinensis. Its description in RNAcentral is "sRNA RchiOBHm_Chr5g0068231". It matches the Rfam family "U2 spliceosomal RNA". From Rfam's summary of the family: U2 is a small nuclear RNA (snRNA) component of the spliceosome (involved in pre-mRNA splicing). Lineage: Eukaryota; Viridiplantae; Streptophyta; Magnoliopsida; Rosales; Rosaceae. The record is from Rfam by way of RNAcentral.